Lycium barbarum (goji berry) is the source of this 2960-nucleotide RNA transcript. It is a transcript of the gene named U-box domain-containing protein 40-like, with no coding region annotated. The transcript is spliced from 3 exons. NCBI's taxonomy places the organism in Eukaryota, Viridiplantae, Streptophyta, Magnoliopsida, Solanales, Solanaceae. The record is from RefSeq and is a predicted model, not a curated record.
ACUAAAUUCUUAUUCCAAAACUCCCUUUCCCUUUCCCUUCCCCUUCCCCUUUCCAUAGCUCAUCAUGUUUCUUUCUCUCUUAACCCAUACCACUUCUUCAUCUAUGGAUUCACUUACACUCUUCAAUUAUAUAUACUCAACAUUAUAUUCACUAAAAAUAUCUAACAUCAAAAUCCCAUAACACAUAAUUUCAAGUCUUUAAUGGGGACUGGCAAGCAAAGAUGGAGAAUAAUCUCCUUCAACAAAUAUCCAUUAAAACACCACCCACCAUAUCCUAAAGAAUUCAUCUGUCCAAUAUCUAAGUCUCUCAUGGCUGACCCAAUAAUAAUCUCUUCUGGUCAUACUUUCGAACGUAACUGUGUUCAUGCAUGCAAAUCACUCUCUUUUACACCUAUAUUACCUGAUGGUUCUUUACCAAAUUUCUCCACUAUUAUCCCUAAUAAGGCCCUUAAAUCUACCAUUUUCAACUGGUGUUCUUCUUCACAUAUUGAUCCUCCUCAACCUCUCGAUUUCCUCUCUGCUCAAAAUCUCGUCCGUUCAUUAAUGGCUGCCCAAAACCCACAAAAAUUUCGUGAACAGAUGCAUAGUAGCAAGAAUUGUGAUGUGAUGAACCGGUUUAUUGAGUCUGUGACACAGUUAAAUAGUGUGUCGAGUCACAUAUCAGGGAGGAGUUAUCACCACCAGUCCAGCAGACCCGUUCAUGCAGCUAUGCAGGCGUCCCAGGGGGAUUAUUCUGGGCACGGUACUACGUACAGUUCGGGACAGGCUACCCAUGGUUCAUAUUCCAGGCAUUCAGACUAUUCGUGUUCUAUGAGUUCUGAGGAAUCUGUGGGUCCUACCAGUGGAUCAGCAACUCCUUUACCUCUACCGACCCGACCCUUCUGUUGCUCUUCAUCAUCAUCCUCGGAAAUGGAGACGAUAAACCAUAAUUCAUGUGAAGAAGAUGAACUUAUCGUUAAACUGAAGAGCUCACAAGUGUUUGAACAAGAAGAAGCUGUCAUUUCACUUCGAAAGUUGACCCGAACCCGAGAAGAAACUCGUUUCCAUCUCUGUACUCUGCGUUUAUUGUCAGCUCUUCGUUGUACCAUCACCUCGAGAUAUGCUUCCGUACAGGUGAAUUCCGUAGCAGCUUUAGUGAACAUUUCGUUAGAAAAUCGAAACAAGGUGAAGAUUGUAAGGUCUGGAAUUGUUCCCCCUUUAAUUGAUGUGUUAAAAGGAGGAUUCCCUGAAUCACAAGAACAUGCUGCAGGUGCACUUUUUAGUUUGGCAUUAGAUGAUCAAAACAAGACUGCCAUUGGGGUUUUGGGUGCAUUGCCACCUCUUCUUCACUCGCUCCGUUCGGAGUCCGAACGGACAAGGCAUGAUUCAGCUUUGGCUCUGUAUUAUCUUUCAUUGGUUCAGAGUAACCGUGCUAAGUUGGUUAAACUUGGCGCGGUUCAGUUACUAUUAGGCAUGGUGAGAAGUAUGGGUCCUAUGACGGGUCGAAUUCUGUUAAUACUGUGUAACAUGGCAGGUAGUUUAGAGGGGAGAGGAGCUCUGCUUGAUGGGGGUGCAGUGGAGUGUUUUGUCGGUAUGUUGAGAAAGGGAGAGUUUGAUGGAGAGUCGAAUAUUCGGCAGAGUUGUGUUACUGCAUUAUAUGGACUAAGUCAUGGUGGACUUAGGUUUAAAGGGUUGGCAAAGGAGGCUGCUGCAGAGGAAUUGUUGAUAACAAUUGAGGAAAUGGGAAGCAAGCGGGCAAAGGAUAAGGUCAAGAGGAUAUUGGAGGUGUUGAGGGAGAAAGAUGAAGAAGAGGAGGAAGUUGAUUGGGAGGAGUUGCUUAAUUCUGAUGAAGAUACAAAUUCUCCAUAGCUUUUGUUUCCUUAAUUGGGUGAUGACUUGGGUGUUUUUUCUGGACAUGAAAUUGUAAUUAGGCAAGAUUUGUAUGCACAUAGUGGGUUUUAGUUUUGCUUGUGGUGUCUUUUGAAACAAUUCGUCGAUUGACAAAGUAAAUAACAGUUUCUUGAAUGUUCAAAGUGUAAAGAAAAUAUUUUGAACAGUGUGUUAUAGUUUGGGAAAAUGUUUGUAACAUGAGCCCAUCGUCUUCUACUAUUGUUUGGCCAUCCUUGAUACCAGAUAAUGUUCUUCAUAUCUUGUGUGAAUGGUGCUUAUUCUGUGAACCUGCUGUGGUUUAUCUCUGCUCUUCUUUGUUAUGCUUGAUGUUGAGUUUAUCAGCUAUAUCUGGUCCUGAAAAGUUAGAAAAUGCAAUGCUCCUCUCUUUGUUAGUUUCUUGAAAGGUCUGUAAUAGUACAUGUUUACUGCUAAUGCCUAACCAGAGGCAAAUGAACUGACUUUUGCGAGUGUUAGCUUCAAUCAUCUUGGUGGUUCAACGAUGAAAGAAAGAAAGAAAAACAAAGCAUUCCCACUAUCUAGCUACUUCAAAGGAGUAUUUCUUCUUUAAGCAGAGCCGAUUUGUCGGUGGUUGUUACUAGAAAUUUGAAGUCACGCGGAGAUGCUGAAUUUUUGGUACUUCUAUGGAGAGUGUGCAAAAAUCGCGGCCGAACUUUGGUGUCCGAGUUACCUACAUCUCUUGCCCGCUGUAACUGCAAAUUAAUAAUGGAGCUGACUUCUCGCGGAGGAUGCUACUUGGAGUCAUCAACUGGUAUAAAAGGGAAGUUAUCCAGGGGCUUGACUGUAGGAUGUUCUAGGCUAUCAGCUGGAUUGAUAAACUCCAUUCGGUUCGAAGUGAUGCCGCGUCGGAGUAUUCCCGUAUGAGCUAAGUCAUUUACAUUAUGGGUAUGUUGGGGUCCUAUCCCUACUUAGGUUUUGAUGUCAUAUCUUACAUUAGAGACUUUAGCAGACAGAGUCAUGUAUACAGUACGUCAGCCUUGUAAGUAGCUAUGUAAGCCGAUGUAUCAUUAUGCAUUACAUUACAGAUUUCACUUGAUUUGAGAAAGACAGAAAGAAUGUUUUUGAAAAGCUUU